Molecule: non-coding RNA, 317 nt
Organism: Pelobates cultripes (western spadefoot toad)
Lineage: Eukaryota; Metazoa; Chordata; Amphibia; Anura; Pelobatidae
Source: the annotation of a GenBank genome assembly
GCAGUGGUGUAUUUGUGUGCAUUGUUAAUGUUGGAAUGCAGGGUUGUAUUUGUGUGCAAUGUUAGCUGGGAUGUAUGCAUUGCCACACGCACAGAUACACACUUACACAUACUGACACUCAUACACACACAGGUACAUAUACACAGACAAGCAGGUACACAUACAAACUGACACAUAGGUAUACAUACACACAGAUACACAUAAACACUGACACAAAAGGUACAUGUACACUGACACAAACACAGCCAUAUAAACACACACUGACACAAACAGCCAGAUACACACUUACACACACACAGUCAGAUACAGACACACAC